This 273-nucleotide ribosomal RNA is filed under the name uncultured bacterium. Its description in RNAcentral is "partial 16S ribosomal RNA". It matches the Rfam family "Bacterial small subunit ribosomal RNA", at positions 524 to 796 of the family's 1533-position model. The record is from RNAcentral.
UACGUAGGUGGCAAGCGUUGUCCGGAAUUAUUGGGCGUAAAGCGCGCGCAGGCGGUCUCUUAAGUCUGAUGUGAAAGCCCACGGCUCAACCGUGGAGGGUCAUUGGAAACUGGGAGACUUGAGUGCAGGAGAGAAAAGUGGAAUUCCACGUGUAGCGGUGAAAUGCGUAGAGAUGUGGAGGAACACCAGUGGCGAAGGCGGCUUUUUGGCCUGUAACUGACGCUGAGGCGCGAAAGCGUGGGGAGCAAACAGGAUUAGAAACCCCCGUAGUCC